AAAAAAAAUAAAUAUUAAAAAUAAUUAUAAAAUUUUAAAGUUUUAGUAUUUUAUUAAGAAAAAAUAAUUUUAAUAAUAGUUUAUUAGUAUUGUAAAAUAAAAUUGAAAUAUAAUGAAAAAUUUUUAUUUUAAAAGAAAAUUUAAUUUAUUGUAUCUUGUGUAUCAGAGUAUAUUAAAUAAAAAAUAUUUAAAUAUUUUUCUCGAUUUUAAAAGAUUUAAUAAAUUAUAAAUGUUAAUGUAACAAAAUUAUAUUUAAUAAUUUAUUAGAAAUGAAAUGUUAUUCGUUUUUAAAGGUAUCUAGUUUUUUAAGAAAUAAGUUUAAUUUAAUAUUCAAAAUUUACUUAUUUAUUUUAUUAAUUAAGUAAUWUUURUUUAAAUAUUAAAAAUAAAGAAAUAAUGAUAUAAUUAGUAUAUUUUUUUUGUAAUAAUAUAUUUUAAAAUGAAAAGUUUAUAUAAAGAAUUCGGCAAAAAUAAUGUUCGCCUGUUUAACAAAAACAUGUCUUUUAGAAAUUAAUUUAAAGUCUGACCUGCCCACUGAAUUUUUUUAAAUGGCCGCAGUAUAUUAACUGUGCAAAGGUAGCAUAAUCAUUAGUCUUUUAAUUGAAGGCUGGAAUGAAUGGUUGGACGAAAUAUUAACUGUUUCAUGUAAAUUUAUAAUAGAAUUUUAUUUUUUAGUCAAAAAGCUAAAAUAAAUUUAAAAGACGAGAAGACCCUAUGAAUCUUUAUAUAAUAUAUAUUUUAAUUUUGUAGAUUAUUUUAAUUAUAAUAUUAUUUUUAUAUUUUAUUGGGGUGAUAUUAAAAUUUAAAUAACUUUUAAGCUUUAAAUCAUUGAUUUAUGAAUAAAUGAUCCAUUUUUAAUGAUUAAAAAUUUAAGUUACUCUAGGGAUAACAGCGUAAUUUUUUUGGAGAGUUCAUAUCGAUAAAAAAGAUUGCGACCUCGAUGUUGGAUUAAGAAAUAAUUUUAGGUGUAGCCGUUUAAAUUUAAAGUCUGUUCGACUUUUAAAAUCUUACAUGAUCUGAGUUCAAACCGGCGUGAGCCAGGUUGGUUUCUAUCUUUAAUUAAUUAAUAUAUUUUAGUACGAAAGGAUUGAAUAUAUAAAUAAUUUUAUUUUAUAAGUAAGAAUAUU
This 1127-nucleotide ribosomal RNA is filed under the name Eristalis arbustorum. Its description in RNAcentral is "16S ribosomal RNA". Lineage: Eukaryota; Metazoa; Arthropoda; Insecta; Diptera; Syrphidae. The record is from RNAcentral.